Molecule: long non-coding RNA, 1849 nt
Organism: Podarcis raffonei (Aeolian wall lizard)
Lineage: Eukaryota; Metazoa; Chordata; Lepidosauria; Squamata; Lacertidae
Exons: 2
Source: RefSeq, a predicted model, not a curated record
GCUUCCAAAGAGACCUGGAAAGAGAAUACAGGCUCCAGAGAGAUACCCCAACCCCUGCCCUGCAACAGCAAACCCCUCUGACCUGCAGAACACUCCAGAGACCUUAGCCAGAGAGCAGCUGCUGGUCUCGGGCUAGAUGGACCUCAUUCAGGACAAAGAAGCUUCAUUUGCUCACCCCAAGGCAGAAAGGAGCCAAAGGAUGAGACAGCAGGUGACUCUCAGCCUAGUGAGUCCUCAUGAGGGAUCUGAGUUAUGCCAUGGCUCCAGGCUCAGCACAGGGCUAGCAGGUGUAAGCACCAGGUGGCACCACCAAGUCCCACAAGUUUUCAUGGGGCAGGAUAUGGGGGCUGCCAAGAAAUAAGGCCUGGGAUCCUGUGGAAAGCAUUCUCUUCAGGCAGGAAAGCAAACUGGAACUCACGCCUUCUGGUUGACGAUGUUUAGGAGGUCCACCAUAACGGAGAGGUCGUUGAUGGCCACUGCGGAGUCCACAGAUGUCUGAGAAAAAGCAAGAGAGGCAAAUCAGGAUGAGGGCAAGUCUCCUAGAGAUAGACAUCAUGAAGGCAAGCCAAGUGGUGGUAAAGAAGAACGUCUUCCAAGGCUUUCAGCUACAUCUAUACACAGCCUUUGGCAGAGGGGAUCAGCCAUGCAGGUUUCAGCCCUUCCAUCGGACAAAAGUGUCUCUUUAUACACAGCAGGCUAUAUUUUGUCAAGCAAAUAGGAACAGGGUCACCUGCCAUGAUGAUGCUCUCUUAGGCAGGAAGAACUCAACCCAGGGAACAUCCUGCCUCAGGGGCUGUAAGAGCCAUUUCUCAUCCCGAAGCUCAUCUCCAGACUAAGACAAGCACUGGCUGAGAAUCUGCCAGAACACACCAAGGCCCCCCAGGGGGCAGCCAGCAGACAUCUUGAGAGGGAGCAUCCCCUAAAGGCCACUGAGGCACUUGACCACCAAAAAUUAGCACAAUUCUUUAAGGGACUUCAAGGCUCAUGCAAGUGACAGGGAUAAUGUGGCCAUGGAAAUGCUCCUUCUGAGUGGAGAGUAAGCAGGCAGCCCCCUCUAGUAGGAAUGGCAUCCACAAGAGAGAACGUGAAUGCUUAUUCUGAGUCUGUGUCACAUCUUGAGUUACGGGGUCUCCUUGCAGGUCACAGUCCUGCCACCCACCCCACUGCUGAGAAUGAUUCUGGGCUACCUCCUUGUCAGGUAGAGCAAAACUGUGUGGAAGCCCUCUCCUUCCAGCAUGGGAAGGUGAGAUGCUGCUGAUUACACCAUAAUAACCAACUUGUGGAAUGUAUUCCUACUGCAGAUUCCCCACCCCCACCCCGAAUUUCAAAUAUUUUGGCCUGAAUAAAGGGAUGUGUUGGGUGCCCAAGGUCACCAGGAAGGAGCCUUCUUAAAAGGCACAGGGCCUGCUCCCAAAGCAGCCCCUCUCCCCAGCUGGAGCAAAAGAUGCUCAUUCAUCAUCUGCAUCUCUCUUGGUCAACUGAUAACAAUAAAACUUCAAGCUUUUUGUAUCCAAGCUGACAGUGGUGGGAGGUUUGAGAUCUGGACCUGCUAAGCCCAAAGCCCCUGGCACUGUGCUGCUUAACAAAGACAACAAAAAGGCCACUUGCCUUGAUGUCUCCAGUGCUCCACACGGCCCUUACGGUGUCCAAGUUCUUGUGGCGGCUGGUAAGCACCACGCACAUGGUCUCGUGUCCCUUCCGGAUUUGGGACAUGGCCUCUUCAUCCACAAUCUCCGCCAGGUUUUGGUUGUUCACAGCCUGCAAGGACAGAAAGGAAAGGGAACUUGGCAUUGAUGGUCUAAUCUGUAAUGUAUUACACACACAAACACAUAAACUAUACCUUUUUGUA